GGCUAAUUCGCCACAAUGCUGGCCAUGUCUGAACUCGUGAUACCAACCCCCCUUCUUUCUCUUCUCUUCCCACCCCAGCUUUUCCAGUCUCUAAGGGAAGGAGAGAGAGGUGAGGGUCAAGGGUGAGGCGAGAAGCGAGAGAGGGCUGGAAGAGGGAAGAGCUCGGGUUAAGAUGUUUGGUGUUCCUAUUUCUGGCAGAGGGGGAGAUCGUAUCAUGUAUGAGAAGUUAACCAUAUUGAACCUGCAAAGUGGCUUGAACUGGACUGAGCCUAACAACUGGUACCAUGACCUGUCCACAGUACAAACACAACACAGCACAGUGCCCGAGGGCUCUCUAUUGGACACAGACGGAGUCCUGGGGGAUGAAGGUGGUGGUGGUGGAGGAGGAGGGCCGGUCGAGAGGGACGAGGGCAAGGAGUCACAGCUGAGGCUGCAGCUGAAGAGGAAGCUACAGAGGAACAGGACCAGCUUCACUCAAGAGCAGAUUGAGGCACUGGAGAAAGAGUUCGAAAGAACACAGACGUCUUCGUGCGAGAGCGAUUAGCCAACAAGAUUGACCUUCCAGAGGCACGGAUACAGGUGUGGUUUUCCAACCGAAGAGCCAAGUCUAGGAGAGAGGAAAAGCUUCGCAACCAGAGGAGGUCAUGGGGUGGGACUUCCUGUUCCCAGGCUCACGCCCCCCAAAGCACUUCCUUCAACACCUCUGUCUAUUACCAUCAACAUGGCAGCAGUUCAGAAAUUUGACUCUUCAGAGUACCCAUCCCAUAUGCCUCCACCGUCCUCUGCCAACUCAAACAUUGUCUUUCUUUCUUUCCUUCCUCCUCCUCUCCUCUUUCACCCUCUCUUGCAUUCUCUCUCUCCCUUCCUGUUUUCUCUCCUUCCUCCUCUCCUCUCUUUCCUUCUUCCUGUCCCCUUGCUUUCUCUCUCCUUGCCCCCCCCCCCCAUCUCCCAGGGCUCAUUUCUCCCGGGGUUUCGGUACUGGUGCAGCUUCCUGGGAACGAGCAGAGCAUGAGCCAGUACUGGGCCAGACUACAGUGAGCGAGAGGGAACGAGAAACGACUGAGGGGACAAAAAACAAAGGCAUACUAUGAAAAGGGAGGAUAAAACAAGGACACUAGAUAAGAGACAUGCUUCUUUGAGUUGGUUUGGCUUGAGGCUUGCAUUAAAUGUUUACAAAUGUGCUGCCAAAAUACUUUUUUUUUUUACAACGGGAAGCAUAAAAGCUCAUUGAUAUGGUGUGGCUAGUUGUUCCGUAAGCAUCAGUGGUGAGAGGCUGAAUAUACUGUGAAGAUACAUUUUUUGACUCGAUUAUAUUAAAACAUUCACCUUUUACAAACAUGUUUAAAGCCUAUCUCUCCUAUCAGCAAUCUGCCAAAUAUAAUAUUUUGUGGUGAAACAAAUGUUGCGAAACAAUUCAAUUCUAAUGGAGGCCCAAGUAAGGGUUGGAGUCUAUUCCAUUUCAUUUACAGCCAUUUCAGAAAGUAAACCAAAUUCAAAUGUUCCUAAUUUCAAAAGCAAUGAAGAGAAUCAGAAUUGGAAUUACAGUGUACUUCCCGAAUUGACUGGAAAUGAAAUGGAGGUGACCCUUGGCCACAGUAUUGAUGUAUAACAAUACAGUUAUAGAGAAUAUCAAAUUUAUGGAAGGAAAAAUGCAGCACAUUUUAGAACAACACUCAUCCUCAGAUUUUGUAACAAAGAUUUCAAUGAUAGUGCCAUCAGUUUACAUAUUCAUCAGCCAAUGACAAUCAAGUAUCAUCAGCCACCAUGCAAUAAGAGUUGAUGUUCAGGUUAGCAACCAAUCAAAAGCAAAGGCCUUAGCAAAUGACAAUCAAGAAGAGCCAAUGAAUAACCACUAAAGCCGGAUUUCAAUCCGAUCUUGCUUUGACGACAAUGCACCAUUUAAAGAUAAUUUCCGAUUGAGCAGACAUAUGCAGAGUGAAAGCGGUCUCCCUGAAAGCGGAAACAUUGCCUUUAAAAGGUGCAUUGUCGACAAAACAUGAUCGGAUUGAAUCUCGGACUAACUAAAACUACAAAAGCAACAAUAUUAUCAAGAGCAAUGGAUCAAUGACCAACUGAGCGUGACCAAAUAUUACGUAGCACUCAAUCAUUCAUAAACAUAAAUCAAACAUUGUAACAUAUUGUUGAUUUUAUGACCUCACUGUUGCUUCUCUCUUUAAUGAACUGUCAUUUAUUUGUCUAUUUUUCAUUUCACAUUUGUCACAUGACCCCUGUGUGUUUUUUUUUUUAUCGUUGUGGGACUUUGCUGUGUUAGCACUGUGUAUAAGAAAAGUAAUCCCUUUUGCGAAGGCAUUUGAACCCUUUAAUGAAUUAAAACUAUAUGGAAUGAGAAA
This is a long non-coding RNA of Oncorhynchus kisutch (coho salmon), 2351 nucleotides long. RefSeq lists it as uncharacterized. The record is from RefSeq and is a predicted model, not a curated record. NCBI's taxonomy places the organism in Eukaryota, Metazoa, Chordata, Actinopteri, Salmoniformes, Salmonidae. The transcript has 6 exons.